UUUUUAAAUUAGACCAAUGCCCUCUUGAUCAAUUGAAAUUUCAUAAAAUUUAUUACAAUGAAUAACUACUGAGGGAACAUAGGACUUCUUACAUAUCUUUUCUAAAUAUAAAAUGUAUAUCUUCAUCAAAGUCUUCUAUGUUAUAAUUCAGCUUCAUGUGCAUGCAGUUCCUAAUGUUAGCAGUAAUCAGAGCACUCCUGCACAACAACCGCGACGACAAUCUUCCUUCUCUUUAUCAUCGCUCACCAUCUGUGUCCUGUCAUUGAUGGCACCUUAGCCACACUACACCGGCUCUGGCACCAUAAAGGCGAUGGUAGAGAUCCCGUGGGAAGGUACCUUCGCCACACUACACCGGCUCUGGCACCAUUAAGGCGAUGGUACAUUCCGUGGGACUGUCGCGCAUGGUACCAGGCCAAGAUGCUCCCGCCAACCAUGAAAGCGGCCACCUGCUGCAAACAUUUGAAGAGUCAUUAUGUGAUUACUAUUACAUCUACAUCUGAUGAAUGAGAAUAACAAGUAGGAUGGUGAAUGAGAAGUCAACAUCCAACAUGAAUAGCUAGACAACAUGUAGAUAACAGGCUAAACUUCCUUUCCUGCUAAAUCUUUGAUAUUACCCCAGUAAUGCGAACCAACUGCUUCAAGCUUCUCAGAUGGACCCUUAUAUCCCUUAGUUCUUCUACCGAAACAAACUACUUGCCCCGGGAUAACCACCAUAUGUCCGUAAGACAACAACUUGCACCUUCCACUUGGCAUGGUUCAUAGUUGAUUGUGCCUCUUCAGCUCUCACGGGAUACAACCAGACAAUGUCAUGUAUAAUGCUCCAAUAAUCAGACAAUCAAGAUGCAUGAACUAAUAUGUAGACUCAAUCUUCUUAGUGAAGAUAUCUUAACAUGUGUUGACAUUUACAAAAAUGCCUGUCAUGAUUUCAUAGAUGACAAAGGCAGACAAUUACGAUGCCAACAUUGCCAGCACAUUAUAUUAGUGAACUCACACGUACAUGUACAUUCCGUAGUUUACCGGAUUUUAUUAUUGACAGAACAGGCAGAAGAUUUUAAAAGGUAAAUAGACAAAUAAGAAUCCAAGUAAUAUCAACAUUGGGAUGCUCUGGUUUAUAUAUCAUUGCUCUGAUUUCUUAAGCCUUUGGUUUUUUGUGCAAUAUAUUUUCCAUGUAAUAGCAAGCUGAAGGAUGAUAAGCUCAAAGAGGUUACCAGGACCAAAGAUGAUUAUCUAAAAGAAACCUUGAAGCAAAAAGCUGAUGUCGAUAAAACAGUAUAAGGCCUAAAAUAAAAACAUGUCUUCAUAGUAAAAGUCUUAGUCGUCCUAGAACAGUUCGAAAAGUCUUAGUGGCUUUAUCUAAAAAAAAAGAUGCUUAGUGGCUCUGCAUGCUAUGACAACCAUCAAUUGAAGUACAUAUCUCGCUGGACUUGAACUCUUGCGACUAAGAUAUCAAUUGAAACCCAGAUUCACCGAGAAGUAGGAAAUAUGGCUGCAAUAUAUCAAUGGCUCGAAUAAUGUGCAAUAUAUCAAUGGGCUUGAAUAAUGUGCAACAUAUCAAUAUGACAAUAUUAGCUAUCCACUACACAACCAAAUUUAACCGAAAAUCUAUAAGAUGAGUUCUAAUAAUAGCAAUCCAACAACUACUAAUCCAAACUCACUUGUGCAAACUUGCGGCCAUGCGGCAUCAGUAAAUGCGUAAGGAUGACCAUGUGCCCCAUAAUUGGAAAU
This 1725-nucleotide long non-coding RNA is filed under the name Triticum aestivum (bread wheat). Its description in RNAcentral is "long non-coding RNA (TAES_LNC003091)". The record is from RNAcentral. Lineage: Eukaryota; Viridiplantae; Streptophyta; Magnoliopsida; Poales; Poaceae.